CUGAAAGGCAACCUGCAGAGACUGCUCAGCGCUCUGACUCCCUGGGGAGGGGAUCAGGUAGUACAGGGAAUCCUCCUGCUGAUUGUUGGGCACCGUGCUACUCCCAGUCCCUGCUGCAUAGGUUGAGUGUCAUUAACUGUUUAACUGUGACAGCUACACAGAACACAAUAUAUAUAUAUAUAUAUAUAUAUAUAUAUAUACAUUUUCAGCAACAGAGCUCACAGGAGAUAGCUCCAAACACAAGAUGCCAGUACAGGAAUCCACAAGCCCCAAUUCCAAGGGAAGACUACCCGCAGAGGACCCAGAGCAAACGGAGAUAUUGAAGACAGCCCAGUCUAGAAUAAAUCUCGUUAUAGUACUCGCAAUAUAGAAACCAGCUAAUGAAUUUAAUCAAUAAUGACAUCCCCGCAAUACUUUCCUUACACGAGAUGUAUUGGCAAUGACACUUCCUACAGUGCACAUUUAUAUGAGAGCCAGGAAAUGCCUGCGUAACCGGUGAAAUUUCCUAUCUGUUCCCAAGUACACAUUUCCUGUAGAAAUAAAAUUGACUUAUCAGUAGA
Xenopus laevis (African clawed frog) is the source of this 560-nucleotide long non-coding RNA. RefSeq lists it as uncharacterized. NCBI's taxonomy places the organism in Eukaryota, Metazoa, Chordata, Amphibia, Anura, Pipidae. The record is from RefSeq and is a predicted model, not a curated record. The transcript has 4 exons.